Molecule: non-coding RNA, 125 nt
Organism: Arachis ipaensis
Lineage: Eukaryota; Viridiplantae; Streptophyta; Magnoliopsida; Fabales; Fabaceae
Source: RefSeq, a predicted model, not a curated record
UUUGGGGGUUUUAAUUAAAAAAUUUUCGAACCGGUCCGAGUUUCUCAAACCAACCGAUUCAUCAAUUUUUGCAAAAUCUGACUGAAUCAAACCUAUUCUCACCAAAUUCCAAAAACUCAUGAAUC